CCAGUAUAAUUUAUUUAUUUCUAUUCCAGCACGCCUUUCAUUUCCACUGCAUUUCAAGAUGGUUGAAAACUAGACAGGUUUGUCCUUUAGAUAACAGGGAGUGGGAAUUCCAAAAAUAUGGCCAUUGAUUCAUUGGUUUGGAAUUUUUUGAUCCUUUCUGAUAUGACCUGCUUUUCAUCAAUAUCUCUUCGAUUCAAAUUUGCUUUUGAAUUAAAAGUAUCUCCAUUA
Molecule: long non-coding RNA, 228 nt
Organism: Leptinotarsa decemlineata (Colorado potato beetle)
Lineage: Eukaryota; Metazoa; Arthropoda; Insecta; Coleoptera; Chrysomelidae
Gene: Roc1a
Source: RefSeq, a predicted model, not a curated record